RNAcentral lists this ribosomal RNA (261 nucleotides) under uncultured bacterium. RNAcentral's name for it is "partial 16S ribosomal RNA". It matches the Rfam family "Bacterial small subunit ribosomal RNA", at positions 28 to 297 of the family's 1533-position model. The record is from RNAcentral.
GACGAACGCUGGCGGCGUGCUUAACACAUGCAAGUCGAACGGAAGUAGCAAUACUUCAGUGGCGCACGGGUGAGGAACACGUAGCUCAUCUGCCCUCAAGUGUGGGAUAACGCUCCGAAAGGAGUGCUAAUACCGCAUAAGCUCCCGGAUUGCAGAGGUCUGGGAGAAAAGGAGUAAUUCGCUUGAGGAGGAGGCUGCGGCCCAUCAGGUAGUUGGUGCGGUAACGGCGCACCAAGCCGACGACGGGUAGGGGACCUGAGA